This 282-nucleotide ribosomal RNA is filed under the name Triticum aestivum (bread wheat). Its description in RNAcentral is "partial small subunit ribosomal RNA". The record is from RNAcentral. Lineage: Eukaryota; Viridiplantae; Streptophyta; Magnoliopsida; Poales; Poaceae.
AUGCUUGUCAAUGUAAAUGGCGGUCAGUCGGCAAAGAACAUCAAAUCAUGUGCUCAUACGGUCCAGCUCGCGCUGUGCUCAUACGUACUGUUGCAACACAGCCCUGCCAUGGCGACUGAAUAUAAUAUGUGGCGUCUGGAAUUUGUUUACCUCCAAAGAAUCAGACCAAUUCUGACAGGACUGUACAGUAUUCAACGGCCGAAAUGCACGCAGCAGUGUGCAACGGCUAGGAAUUCAUGGCAUGGUGGGGUCCCUGCUCGCACGCGCGCACAGGAUAGAUGA